RNAcentral lists this ribosomal RNA (245 nucleotides) under uncultured Thermoprotei archaeon. Its description in RNAcentral is "partial 16S ribosomal RNA". It matches the Rfam family "Archaeal small subunit ribosomal RNA", at positions 474 to 719 of the family's 1478-position model. The record is from RNAcentral. Lineage: Archaea; Thermoproteati; Thermoproteota; Thermoprotei.
UACCAGCUCUCCGAGUGGUAGGGACGGUUAUUGGGCUUAAAGCGUCCGUAGCCGGCUCGGUAAGUCUCUCGUUAAAUCCAGCGACCUAAUCGUUGGACUGCGGGAGAUACUGUCGGGCUAGGGGGCGGGAGAAGCCGAUGGUAUUCCCGGGGUAGGGGUGAAAUCCUAUAAUCCCGGGAGGACCACCAGUGGCGAAGGCGGUCGGCUAGAACGCGCUCGACGGUGAUGGACGAAAGCUGGGGGAG